Molecule: non-coding RNA, 303 nt
Organism: Pelobates cultripes (western spadefoot toad)
Lineage: Eukaryota; Metazoa; Chordata; Amphibia; Anura; Pelobatidae
Source: the annotation of a GenBank genome assembly
AUUAAUUAUACAAAUGAUUAAGGCUGGUAUUUUUUUCCAAGAAAGGUGGCAACCUUAACUACUCUUCACAUACUCUUGCUUAAAGGAGCACUAUAAUGUCAGGAACACAAUCAUGUAUUUCUUAACCUAUUAUGUUAAAACCACCACCCUGGUCCCUUCUUGCCUCCCUAAAUAUAGUAAAAUAUUACUUGUAUUCAAUUCUGCAGCUUGUAUUCACUUCCCCAUAGGAUUGGCUGAGACUGUCAACUAGGCAGAUCAGGGGCAGAGCCAGCACAAGUCCAACAUAGCCCUGGCCAAUCAGCA